UUCUGCAAGAGACGAAGAUUCAUGUCAGCAUGACACUGCUGAGAAUUCAGAGUACACCUGCACAAAUAACCUCAUAUUGUUUUCUUGGGGUCCUUCUGGAUCAGUCCUUAAAGCUGACCAUCAGCUAAUACAUUCCUAAGUUACCCUGAUUCAAGUGGAAACUCCUGAAAGUCAGUUCCUUGCUGCUUUCUUUGCCUCUCUCGCUUUCUGUGCCUGAGACGCUCUCCACUUCACCCUGGAACCGAUAAUUGAAUCACAGUUGAAUCAGUUUCACAGAUGCCAGGGACUGCCUUAGCCAGCACAAACAGGUUGGCAGCAUUUCUUUAUCUGAGUCAGUGACUCCUUAGCAAUUCAGAUCAGGUUAAAACACCCUUAACGGGAAAAGAGUCUGUCUGUCAGUCCAGGACCCAUAACCAGGUGCUUGGGGCACUCAGCUGGGAAGAAAGCUCUUGCUCUGACUGAGAAGAAUCAACUGAUUAUUCUGAAGUCCUACCCCACAUCAUCAGACAUGAGACUCCAUAAGAUAAGUCCCUGGGAAAACAAAUACAGAAGGACCAAACCCCCUUUCCAUUCAUUUUAAUCUCAUUUCUUAGCCCUUUCUUUUGAUACCAUUGUCUAAAAAUCUAAAUCUCUGCACAAAUUCUUGAGGAAACCUGUCUUUAGCAAGGACAGGUAAUAAGGUGCAUGUUAUGCUGCUGACCUCAAGAAUGUUUUGGUAGAGGUUGCUGAUAGGCUUUCUCAUGUUCCCUCUGUGCUGCUCGUUGUAAAAGGAGGGAUCUUCUCUUUGGUAUUAGUAAAAGACCUCUCUGAUUUGCAAGUUAAACAACUAAUAAAUAAAAUUUAAAAAAGCUGCCAGAUACAAAUGCACAACUAUAUUGGGAUUUUGCAGUAUUUUGAUCAGAAACAAGUUAUAACUUUACACCUUAAAUUCUUAGAGUGAAACUGAUUUACUGCUAUUGCAUGUUCAGAAUGCCACCUAAGAAAGACGGUGUGACUACCAGGCCAUGCCAGACCCUGUUGUCUGGUCUUAGUUUCUCUCUGAAAAUCUGUUAGGAAAAAUCAGUGACUUUUAUUCAUAUUUAAAGUGUAUUAAUAAUAGUAAUAUUAUACUGUAGUGAAGGUUAUUUUGCAUAACUUUUAAAUAUUCAAUGAAGAUUCAAUAUAUUGUCUUAAUAAAACCAUUUUCACAGUAACAAUUAGCAGGUUUUUAGUGUCUGCUGUGGUAGCUGCAACAGAGGGUAAGGGCUGACUUGUCACAUUUUUGAACGUAGAAGGUAGCAUGUAGAGCUGCCACCUUGGUUGGGGUUAGUCUAAGGGUGUUGGCUGAAUAGCUGAGAGCUCAGCUGUGCCAAGUAGAUGAGCAGUGUGACAGUCUCCAUGCUAAUGUGUCUGCAGGAAUUUGCACAGGAGAAGCAGGGCACUCGUGAGAGUAGCAGAAUAAAUCAAAGUGUGAAAGCAAUUGCAGUCAAAUGUCGCACCCAAGCAGUCAGUGACUUGACAUGCUGUUUAGAAAUAGGUUGGGUUACCUGUCAGUGUGGCAUUUUCUUUUGGUUGCUAGAGAAUAAUGUUAUCUGAGGAUAAAAAGUAAGGAGCACAGAUGGCUGCUACACAUGCUUGAUCCUCUAAACUCUUAUCGCAGCUAAUUAUUCCAUUGACGUAAAUGGAACCACUCCUUUGAAUAAGGUCUGUUAUAUUCUCCAAUUCUUUUACGAUUGCAGUACAGUUCUUUUUUGCAUUCUGUGUGUAAAUGUCUGUGCACUUUAAAAAAAAAAAAAACAAACAUUAUUUGGGGGACAAACUGUUUUGUGCCUGGCAGUCACUGGGACCAAAGUCAUUGGUUAAGACUGUAGGUGCAAAUAUUUCUUGGAAAUGUUACCUCUGCACUUUCUAAACAAAUAAACAUAUUCUGAUUUAACUUAUUUUCUUUGUCUAGUAACCACAAGCUCGGAGUCCCCUGCCUGACCAGCAUUUAAUGCUUCCCUUUAUUUUUUUAUCCAGUAAUUGAAGACUUGUGGUGCAAGAGCAGAGUUUACCUUGUAAGCAAGAGUAAUACAAAGAAAACUCAUUUAAAUUUAGAAUCUAACAUUACUUCUUCUUACCUAUUCCAAAUUAGUUUAUGUAUUAUAGUGAAGGUCACUUAUUCUUUUUUGAAAUAUUGAUUGACUGAGUGUGGAUCGUUUUUAUGGAUGCUAUUUUUGUUAUCAGGCAAGCAUCUAUGCUCUGAGGAUAGAGCAGAGGAGCACGCAGUUUGAGGUGUUUUCCUUACCUUCACUAAAGAAACAGCCCGGCUGACACCAGGAACAUGGCAAUCGAAAUAAGACUGGCUGGCAUGGGACCAUGGCCAUCAUAUCUAGUGACAUGCAGUACAAAGGGUGAGCACCCAGCAGUGUGGAGCCAAUUCAGGAAGGACACAGCCUUCACCCAUCUGGCAGAAGAGGUGGCGGACAGUCCCCUGAUCUUUCAGCUGGUGCUGUUUUCUCCUCUCCUUCAACUUCUGUUUUUUGCAUUGUUACACGUUACAUUUCUGUAGCACAUGUUGAAUGGGAUGCUGUGCAGCUGAAAGAUCACAAGUCUCAAAUGGCUCACUUGGUUCUCCCAUACUGAACUGACUGCCUGAGCUGCAGCUCUCUGACAAGGGGAAUGGAAAUACCCAUUUGUGUUACUGUUGUUUAAGUGUAUUGGUAAAUUCCCUGCCUUAGUAUGCUAUGGAGAAAAGACAAUCUGGAUGGAUAAUUAUUCACAAUGAAUUUGAUCCUUAUCUGCAAGCUGACAAGGUAAGUCAUUCCACUUCAUUGAAACAAAUAGCUACCACGUGAUCUCUCCUACUGCUAAAGCCAAAGUACUUCUAUAGAAUCACUCUUCUGAACACCAUCACUAUACCUGCUAUUUGCACUCGUGUUGGUAAUAAUAAAUAGAAAUACUGCAGCUGCCCUUCAGCGGUGGCAUUUCCUAGUCUUUGUGUAGCUUCUGAAGUUCAUAUGUUGCUGUGGUGAAUGCUCUGAGGAAAGACUAACAAAAUAGAUUGUUCUUGUUCUGUUAGGUUGGUUGGUUUGGGAGUGGUUGUGUUGUUGCUGGUUUUUGUGGUUGCUUAGAAUGGACCUUUGAAUGGAAAUAAAAUAGGUUACAGAAUUGGGUUACCAGAUCAGCAGCUCAUGGCUUGCAUUAUGCAAAUAUGAGACUGAGAAAUUAUUCUGUAAUGAGAGCAUAAACUAUACAGAAUAUAGUGGAAUGCAUACAACAUAAGGAGACACUCUUCAGUUUCCAAGGGAUUGCAUUUUUUAACUGCUUACAGUGUUUCUUCACAUUUCAGCACUGAAGCAGUUUCAAUUGGCCAAGCGUUUGUUUCCUUCUGCCUCAUACAAAGCACCCAGCAAUACUCUGAGACAAAAGCUGUACUUGUCAGGUGAAGGACAGAAAAUGUAAACUGCUGAGUAACAGAGGCUAGAAGCUCUGUUAGGGCCUAAGCUCAAAAAGUGAAAGAUUCAUCCUGCCAAAAGUAAGAUAGGUAUUUGAUGAGUUAAUGUCUAGUAAGAUUCAAGUUAGACUUCAGGUAGAGGUCUCUGGGAAGUGAAGAUGGAUAUAACAUCUCGGAGAGGUUGUGGAAUGCCAAUGUAUUAAUUAAAAUAAAAAUAAUUAUAAUAAUAAUAAAAUCACCCACAAAACAUAGUAAUACUUAAAGCUAAAAGUAAAAAUCAGGUAUAGAUUUAACUCUUUGUUGAGAGGCACCAGAAGAAUUCACAGCUCCUUCCAAUUCUGCUUUCUGAUUGAAAUCAAGAACUGAGGAUGCAUUUCUCUUAAUUAGAUGCAGCAUGCAGAUCUAAUUUGUCUAUUUGUCUGUUGUCUAUUGUCAGGUACUAAUUUGUCAUAUUACCUGAACUAUGCUCUGCAAAACUAUUUCUGUGGCCAACUCUUUUAUGGGUUAUUUCUAGAGUACUCACUUUUCUAAUAGGCAGUCAUUGAAUUUACCAGUGGGACCAGCCUCUCCCAAGACAUCCUCUAUAAUUUGUUCCUUAACUACUGAUUUCUACCAAAGACUUCUGUUAUUUGACAUGGACAUUUUUAUCAGUCUAUAAAUGAAUUACAGUAUUCAUCCAAUCAUAAAAUGACAUUAUGAAAGCAGCUUUUUUGCUGAUGUGGUGACUAUAGAGUUGCUUGACAUUAUUCUGGUAACAAAAUUUGACUGGAUAUACGUUUUGACAUCUAGGAAACGAGGACACUGAUGGAAACCGAUGGACCUUAUGUCAAAAGAAAAACAAGAAACCCACAAAACAAAAAACAGCAAUAACAACAACAAAAUCCCCCACAACUGGCUGCAGGAUGACAGCCAGCAAACUAAUAGGUGAAUUCUAAAGAACUCCAUUCCCAAGGGGCAAAGUCAAUAAAGAAAGGACUGGAAAAAAAUAGAGAGGGAAAAGUGAAGACAAGCCAAUGCUUAUAUUUCUUGUAAAAUUAACAAAGAAAUAACAAUGGGAAUUUUAGAACUGAAAAGACAAAGGCUGAUGAACAGUUAGUUUUAUCUAGGAUAGCUGACAUUCAAUAUUCAUGUUUCUAUUUGUACUAUACCCUUCAAAUAUAACUGUGCUCAUAAAGCUGAGUGUCUCAUUAUUAAGUCCUUUGUUCAUGCUUUUAGUCUUUUUCUUAAAUUUUGACAUAAACAUGUUCCAGAAUAGUGUGAACAAAAUGCCAUCCCCCGGAGGACUAGCAUUUGUAGACAGGUUGUGCUGUGGACAUUUCAUUUCAGAAGCCAAGACCUUUUCUUACUCUCCUCAAGAACCUUUGUAAACACUUCUGCUUUCACAUUUAUAAAAUGUAUUUAUACAUAAUCUCCCAGAUCUCUGAGACAAAAAACAUGUUUUGGGAAUCAAUUAUGUACACAUUUUCACAUAUUUUUUUUCCAUUUUGAACUGAGCAUUUCUGCGUAUCGUAGAUUGGUCGUUUUUCUCCGUCAUUGAGUGAUAAUAUGUCAUAGGUAAAGGAUUUUUGACAGUGUUUAAAGCAGAACUGUGAUAAAUAAUGCAGCGCCAAGACUUCAGUAUUAGCACAGUCAACAAACUCCUCAAAGUAAAUGAUAACAUUUACAUAUUUUACCACCUGCUGACACCAUGUUUCCAUUUGUACUGACUCCAGUAGCAGACUAUUUCUAAAGCCAUAGAAAGACUUGGUAAUUCUGCUGUUUUGAGCAGCCUGUGAAGUUCUUGAGCAGCAGAUUUUGGAAGCUAAAAGACUGGCAUGGCUAGUACAUUCUUAGUAUUCUUUUGUAUCCUGUAGUCAACUACUGUUGACCACUGUUGGAUGUAAAACACAUAUUGGGAAGUUACACCUUUGGCCUUCUCCAGAAUGGCCAUCUUACUGCUCUGUACUGGGGAGAAAAAAAACAAAAACAACAACAAAAAACCCACUACCAAGGAACUUACUUACAAACAAAACCCAGACAACACUCACACAAAUUAAUAAAUAAAGAGAAAUAGAGAAAUGAUCUUGUUAGCAAGAAAAGAUUCUGAAAGCAAAAUAAUGAAAAAUAGAAAGCAAAAGAAAAAUAGAAGUUUCUGUCAAAGUGACUUGGCUACAUUUUCCUUAGUUUUUGGCUAGAACAUCUCCAUUGAUAGAGUUGCUAAGUGCAUUCUAUUUACAAAUAUAAACACUUGAUUUUGAUCAGCAAAAAUGCAUCAGCACACUUGAACAGUGUCAAUGAUGACAUAAUUACACUCACAAUUUCCUCUCUGUAAUGAUUUUUAAAUGUCAGCAGUCAUUUUUUGUCUAAUCGUAGCUUGCAUGUCAGCGCUUUCUCUUAAAACAGCAUGUUUCUCUCUGCUGGAAUUUCACACCUCUCCACUUCACCAGUGAAGAUAAUGAAUAUGAUAUAGAACUUCAGGAUAUUUUCACUUCUGUGCUGUGCUGUUUUACUAUUUAACAUCAAGCAGGCAGAAUGAAGGUGUUUUUUCUUUUUUUUUCUUUUUCAAGUGCAGAGUUUAAUCAUCUAAGCUGUAAAUAAGUAUUUGAUUUUAAUGAACAAAUCAAGUAUUCAUUUCUUUUGCCUCCCUGCUGUUGCUGUGCUAAUAACCUGUUUAUAAGCGUGGACGUGUGAUAAAAAUAUUCUCACUCAUCUCUGUUGCAUACUUACCUACUAGAGGAGAAGGCUUAUCCUGCAACGCCAGACAGCUUCCUGCUCAGUUCAGUGUUUAACAAACUGUGAAAGCAGGUGACCCUUUCUCUGCAAAGACACCCUGCUUAACAAUGUCACUGCUACUGUCUCAUGCUAUGGCCUAGAAAGUGACUUAUGAAAUGCAAUUUUGCAUGGUGCCAGGCCUCAAGAUACCACAGCAUAACAAAUAGGUGCAUCUGGAGUUCAUCUCAGUGCCCUCUUCCUCUUUUCAUAGAUCACAUGUCAUCAAAUCUAUGGAAGUGUAUCACUUGUGCAGUGAACUGGAAGCUCUGCAUUGAGGUUAGCAGCAAACAUUUUCCACUCAUCUGAACAUACACUGGAAUUGGAAAUGGGGGCCAAAGAGGCCUCCUUCAGUCCCAUUUGCUCACAACUCAUUCAUGUCUCUGAUGAUGCUUAACUCUAGAGUUUUGGAGAUAAAGCUUAUAUUUAGUGGCCCAUAUGUUAUCAAAAUAAGUAAAAAGCCAUAAGGAACACAUACUGAGAAAACAAGUCAUGAAAUCAUUUUGAGGUAUCUGAUAAAAAAAAAAGAGUACUGUUGAGUGCUUCUGAUCAAACUCAUGCAUUGACCCCAUUUAUAUGUUUUAAUGGGUCUCUAAAAGAUGAAUAUAUAAAUAAUGUGUAGUUGGUGUGUGUGUGUAAUGUGCUUUUCUGUCUAAGGCCCAUGAUAACUUUAAUUAUUUUGAUAAUGUCUCAGUAACAUUAGCACCACAGUUGUAUACAUACAACUGUAUACAUACACAUGUACACACUGUGUACAUGCCUAUAGGCACAUGGUGAUCAUGUGUAUGUUCACACAAAUGAAUGUUGUUGACCUACUUCUCUAACUCUUUGUUAUUUAUGCCAUGUUUUGUAUUUUACACUUUCAUUUUUUUCCCUUUUUGAUUAAAUUGGCACCUCAGAAAUUUUCUGGAGCAGCUGGAAAGGACAAGAAUUUUUUUAACAGGCAUACCGUACCUGCCUAUGUGAGAUGUGUCCAUGAGUAGAGACUACUUGAAAGUAGGUGCUUCUAGGUCACCCCGCUUGGGCUGUCCCCAAGGACAAUUUCAUUAAGGUAGCAAAGCAAACUAAAGAAACUAGCAACCAAGCAGUCAAGAGGCAAAGAAACCAAAUUCUUUGAGCACUUACUUCCAGGGAGAAUAUUAGUCCUGAAGAUAUGAUGCGAGGUAUGCAGUGCGUGACACUAACUUGUUUGUAUCUACCUUUGUGACAACAGGAAUGAGUCAAGAACUAGCAACACUGAAAGGAAACAAACUGUAAGAGAUGGACCUAGAAAACGAGAUACUCAUCUAGAACGUUUUCUCUGCCCUUCCCCUUCCCGUUUUUCGUACUGGAGAGGCAAGGAGGAGAAAGUUUAUCUAAUUUAAAUUAUGUGCAGUAUGCUCAAAGAGAAGUUGACUAUACUGAAACUUUACCACAACACUUCUGGUCCUUACAAGAAAGCUCCACUUCUAUGACAACAACAA
Non-coding RNA from Meleagris gallopavo (turkey), 7626 nucleotides. The record is from RefSeq and is a predicted model, not a curated record. NCBI's taxonomy places the organism in Eukaryota, Metazoa, Chordata, Aves, Galliformes, Phasianidae.